UACGGAGGGUGCAAGCGUUGUUCGGAUUCAUUGGGCGUAAAGGGUGCGUAGGUGGCGUCGUAAGUCGGGUGUGAAAUUUCGGAGCUCAACUCCGAAACUGCAUUCGAUACUGCGGUGCUUGAGGACUGGAGAGGAGACUGGAAUUUACGGUGUAGCAGUGAAAUGCGUAGAGAUCGUAAGGAAGACCAGUGGCGAAGGCGGGUCUCUGGACAGUUCCUGACGCUGAGGCACGAAGGCCAGGGGAGCAAACGGG
This 253-nucleotide ribosomal RNA is filed under the name uncultured bacterium. RNAcentral's name for it is "partial 16S ribosomal RNA". It matches the Rfam family "Bacterial small subunit ribosomal RNA", at positions 524 to 776 of the family's 1533-position model. The record is from RNAcentral.